This is a non-coding RNA of Halomonas sp. QHL1, 287 nucleotides long. NCBI's taxonomy places the organism in Bacteria, Pseudomonadati, Pseudomonadota, Gammaproteobacteria, Oceanospirillales, Halomonadaceae. The record is from Rfam.
CUUCUUCGACCUGCUGAGGGCAGAUAAAGUGGAUAUGGGAGUCGAUACCGCCUGCGGUCAGGAUCUUACCUUCGCCGGAGAUAAUUUCGGUACCGGGGCCAAUGACGAUCUCAACAUCAGGCUGUACGUCAGGAUUGCCUGCCUUACCAAUCGCGGCGAUGCGGCCGUUUUGAAUGCCCACAUCAGCUUUGACGAUGCCCCACCAGUCUAAAAUCAGUGCGUUGGUAAUCACCGUAUCCAUCACCGUGUCGUCAGAGCGCUGGCUUUGACCCAUGCCGUCGCGGAUG